GUGAGGAAUUUUCCGCAAUGGGCGAAAGCCUGACGGAGCAAUGCCGCGUGAAGGAUGAAGGCCUAUGGGUUGUAAACUUCUUUUCUCAGAAAAGAAUUAUGACGGUAUCUGAGGAAUAAGCAUCGGCUAACUCUGUGCCAGCAGCCGCGGUAAGACAGAGGAUGCAAGCGUUAUCCGGAAUGAUUGGGCGUAAAGCGUCGGUAGGUUGUUUAAAAAGUAUUCUGUCAAAGAUUAGGGCUUAACCCUAGAUAGGCAGAAUAAACUUUUAAGCUAGAGUUUGGUAGAGGCAGAGGGAAUUCCCGGUGGAGCGGUGAAAUGCGUAGAUAUCGGGAGGAACACCAAAGGCGAAGGCACUCUGCUGGGCCAAUACUAACACUGAGAGACGAAAGCGAGGGGAGCAAAUGGGAUUAGAAACCCUGGUAGUCC
Molecule: ribosomal RNA, 426 nt
Filed under: uncultured bacterium
Lineage: Bacteria
Description: partial 16S ribosomal RNA
Rfam family: Bacterial small subunit ribosomal RNA
Source: RNAcentral